Molecule: ribosomal RNA, 445 nt
Filed under: uncultured bacterium
Lineage: Bacteria
Description: SSU rRNA
Rfam family: Bacterial small subunit ribosomal RNA
Source: RNAcentral
AGAACGAACGCUGGCGGCAUGCCUAACACAUGCAAGUCGAACGAGACCUUCGGGUCUAGUGGCGCACGGGUGCGUAACGCGUGGGAAUCUGCCCUUAGGUACGGAAUAACAGUGAGAAAUUACUGCUAAUACCGUAUGAUGUCUUCGGACCAAAGAUUUAUCGCCUAGGGAUGAGCCCGCGUAGGAUUAGCUAGUUGGUGGGGUAAAGGCCUACCAAGGCGACGAUCCUUAGCUGGUCUGAGAGGAUGAUCAGCCACACUGGGACUGAGACACGGCCCAGACUCCUACGGGAGGCAGCAGUGGGGAAUAUUGGACAAUGGGCGAAAGCCUGAUCCAGCAAUGCCGCGUGAGUGAAGAAGGCCUUCGGGUUGUAAAGCUCUUUUACCCGGGAAGAUAAUGACUGUACCGGGAGAAUAAGCCCGGCUAACUCCGCGCCAGCAGCCGC